AAGGAGGUCUUGGAAAAGUACUAAUCGAAAGUGCUCCUAUUAGUACUUUCACGGGUAAUCAAAGAAGAAAGAAGAGAAGCUUCAAGACUAGCAAGGAAGCUACUACAAUCCAAGGAAAAAGGAGGAAAGAUAGAUCAUGUGGAGAAGAGAAAGCAGCUUGUUUGGUCAGAAAAGGAAAAGGAAGAUCACACCAAAAGGAAAGUUUCAAGUUGUGUCGACUCUACCGCCGCUUCCUACGAGAUUGACAGGAAAUCCAUCUACAACAUCACCGCUUCCUACGAGAUUGACAGGAAAUCCAUCUACAACAUCACCGUCCGCUGCACCUUCGAAGUCGCCUCGCUUCACCUUGCACCGCUGCCCAUCCG
This 365-nucleotide long non-coding RNA is filed under the name Hordeum vulgare. RNAcentral describes it as "long non-coding RNA (HVUL_LNC009203)". Lineage: Eukaryota; Viridiplantae; Streptophyta; Magnoliopsida; Poales; Poaceae. The record is from RNAcentral.